This 497-nucleotide ribosomal RNA is filed under the name uncultured bacterium. Its description in RNAcentral is "partial 16S ribosomal RNA". It matches the Rfam family "Bacterial small subunit ribosomal RNA", at positions 28 to 507 of the family's 1533-position model. The record is from RNAcentral.
GAUGAACGCUGGCGGCGUGCCUAAUACAUGCAAGUCGAGCGAACGGACGAGAAGCUUGCUUCUCUGAUGUUAGCGGCGGACGGGUGAGUAACACGUGGAUAACCUACCUAUAAGACUGGGAUAACUUCGGGAAACCGGAGCUAAUACCGGAUAAUAUUUUGAACCGCAUGGUUCAAAAGUGAAAGACGGUCUUGCUGUCACUUCUAGAUGGAUCCGCGCUGCAUUAGCUAGUUGGUAAGGUAACGGCUUACCAAGGCAACGAUGCAUAGCCGACCUGAGAGGGGGAUCGGCCACACUGGAACGGAGACACGGUCCAGACUCCUACGGGAGGCAGCAGUAGGGAAUCGUCCGCAAUGGGCGAAAGCCUGACGGAACAACGCCACGUGAGUGAUGAAGGUCUUCGGAUCGUAAAACUCUGUUAUUAGGGAAGAACAUAUGUGUAAGUAACUGUGCACAUCUUGACGGUACCUAAUCAGAAAGCCACGGCUAACUACGUG